UAAAGUCAAUUUGAGGGGCUUACUCAUCGUUUCCUUUACAGACAACUUCCACUGGUACUGAGUCAGCUCCUGGCUUGUGGAGCAUAGCUAAGGAAGAGAUAUCUGGAGAGAGUUGUCAAGGAGCUGUAGCUGGACUAUCCUUGUACCCUGGUGAUCUUUAGCUGCCGCAACAUUCCCUUACAGUCUUUAAUGCAUAAGCCCUGGUAGUGAGUGAGAACCCAGGCCAAUCAUUACAGCCAGUUCCCUGGAGCCUUGGGAAAGACGAUGACCCGGAGGAAGGAACAUCCUGAGCAACAUGGCUGCCAACCACCCCCCCCCCCCCCCGCACCAGGGAAAGAAGAGGUAGGACCAGUGGACUAUGAGAUAAGACUACCUGGAAGGGGAAAAGAAACUAAGAUCCAUCAUAUGAAACUUCUUAUAGAGUGGAAGAUGCAGGAGGCCCUGCUGAUAACUCCCUCUCUGAUAGAACCUGAAUUAGGCCCCCAAGUACCCAGUUGUCAAGAGCUGACAACAAUACUGGGGGGAAGAGGGCUCUCUCUUGUGCAAAGGAAGCAGCUCAUCCAAAUGAUUGAGGACUUUGUGACUGUAUUCUCCACCCACCUAGGGAGAACUCAGUUUUGUUCAACAUCCUAGAGACAACCCUAGGCCAACUAGUCAGGGAGAACCCUAGAACACUGCCCACAAGGGAUGUGGGAUACAGUCCAAGAGGAAGUGCAAGUGAUGCUAGAGAUGGGGGCAAUUGUAGAAUUCAAAAGUGAAUGGAGAAGCCCUAUAGUUAUCAUUCCCAAACUGGACAGUUCAAUUUGAUUUUGCAUUGACCUUGUGAGGGUUAAUUCCAUCUCAAAAUUUGAUGCCUACCCAAUGCCAAGGGUAGAAAAGUUACUAGAGUGGCUGGGACUGGUGAAGAACCUG
Chelonia mydas (Green sea turtle) is the source of this 912-nucleotide long non-coding RNA. RefSeq lists it as uncharacterized. NCBI's taxonomy places the organism in Eukaryota, Metazoa, Chordata, Testudines, Cheloniidae. The record is from RefSeq and is a predicted model, not a curated record. The transcript has 3 exons.